Numida meleagris (helmeted guineafowl) is the source of this 1368-nucleotide long non-coding RNA. The record is from Ensembl. Lineage: Eukaryota; Metazoa; Chordata; Aves; Galliformes; Numididae.
UCUCUCUCCUUUUAAGAUUGUGACAGAGGUGUACAGAUAGUUCUGUGAAGAAUUAUUUUUUUUUCCUUUUUUCAGAUUUUCAACUUUCAGUGUCAUUUCAAAUUUCAGAAAAUAAAUGUGGAAAACAGACUGAUGACAGCUUUGUGACAUCCACCCCUCUACCUCUGAGUGCCUUUUAUCCAACAGGAAAACAAAGCAUUCAGUUAAGGAAGACUGGAAAAAUUCAGCCUGAAUCCCUCAUUGACCUGAAACCCACCCUCCAGGGGCAACCAGCAGCUUCCAGACCAGCCUUUCGUUAUUCGUUGUCCUUCCUAAUGAGAACAACAUUAGACUCCUACUUCAACAUGACUGAAAUGAUUUCACAGUAGAAAAUGAUCAUCUCUCUACUUCAGAAGCAUUGGUGAUGUUUGCUAUUCAAAUGAGAAUCCUUCCGUACUAACUGUUUUAUUAUCACUAUUAUUAUUUCUAUAUGCUGCAGAAAAGAGGAGACUCAUUAUUUUCCAUCAGUUCAUUUAGCAGUGGCUGAAAGUUUCUUCUAGUAAACACAAGGAUCAGUCUCUGCUCUGAAGAAUUGAGUGACUACAAAAACGCAGUGGCAUCUUUUAUGCAGAGCAUCACCCCUAUGCCUUUACUCACUGUGCUUUUCCUUAAAUGACUGUAAUGAGACUGUUAAGCAUUCCAGCCUUGUGACUAAUCCCUGCAGGUUUUGCCAGUGACAAUAAUAUCAAAUUUCUUCUCAUCAAUGGGAAUUUCCAUUUCCAGCUUGCUUGUUACCCCGAAGUCUAGAACUGCUGUAUAAGUAAUAGGAAACCCUCUUUUUCUUCACAACUUCAGCACAGCAGCUCAAUUUGUUUGCAACAUGCUGAGUUUGAGUUCAGAUUGCAUUUGCCUUCUUAGCACCUUCCCUUUGUGUCAUUAGUCAAGCAACCGCCUGGCUGCUCCAGCUUGUUUCUGACAGAACGGAGUAGCUUUGAGAUGGAGGCCAUUCUGCUCAUAUGUGAUUGCAUAUAUAUAUAAAAGACUGAAAGCAGCACUAUAAAACCUCCAGCAACUCGGCUACACGCUGCAGCCACUUAUUUUCCCGUGACAUCACAACGCUCUUUUUCCUACCCACCAGCUGGUGGGAAGUGUCAAGUGGCAAUGCUGGAAGAUCACAGGAAGAAUCGCUGCCUUCAGACUCCAAACUUAAUUACAAUGGGUACAACUCCAUCAUCCCUGCUGCAACUGGUCUUGGAAUACACUUGUGCCUGGAGUGCCCCUCUUCCUCAUUUCUUUCCUUGGUAGCUGUUGGUAGGUGGGAGAAAGGAUGAGCAUCGGCCUCUGAGUAAUCAGCAUCACAGCAAAGGAACUGCUGAAUCAGAUGUCAUC